Molecule: long non-coding RNA, 1183 nt
Filed under: Zonotrichia albicollis (white-throated sparrow)
Lineage: Eukaryota; Metazoa; Chordata; Aves; Passeriformes; Passerellidae
Description: lncRNA (ENSZALG00000003588.1)
Source: RNAcentral
AGAGGUUUGGGGCGGGCAGUCUGCAUUUUUUUCAAGCUCUCAUUAUGCUGCACCAGUAUCUCCAGAUGCUGUUUCCAGGGAACUAAGCUGCUUUCUAAUUAAAACUGCAAAGAGCAAUGGAGAGUUUAGGCAAAGACCAUGCUUCUUCGGACUCUUCCCUGCCACCCUCUGCAACCUGUGAGGAGUAUGCUGUGCCAGACGUCAUCAUAACCCGUCGCUUGAGAGACCGGGAGUUGCUCAGGAAAAGAAAAGCAGAAGCCCUGGAGAAAGAUUCAGCUCAGUGGGUUAUGAGAGACUAUAAGAACGAACAGCAAAGGAGAGCCAGAAGAGCCAAAAGAGGACGGGGCCGUCAGACAGUGGUCAAGGCUGUCCUGGAGUCAGAGCCAGCAGGGGACCCCCAGCCCGACCCAGAGGAGAAGGCUGAGCCAGCGCCCUGGGAGCCAGAGCCCUCGGAGCCAGCGCUGCCUGAAGCAGGCUUUCAACAGCAGCCACCAAUGCUGCCCAUCCAGAACAUGGUCGGUGGGCUGCCGGCGGGGGCAGUGGAAGGGGAGCUGGCAGACAGGAGCUUGGACCCUACUGGUGAAGAGGAUAUGCCGAAACCAGAAGAAGCAGAUCUAUUAAAAGAGUUCAAUACUCUGGAAAAUGACCACCAGGAUAACGAAUACAUUCCGCAUAUUCUGUAUUAACUUUCUGAUUGUUUGGGGAUAUUUUUUAUUUUUACUCUCACCUCACAAACUUGACAAGUAUGGCACAGUGAUUUUGAGCAGCUGCUUUCUUGGGAACCAUAAAGCCCAUACUCUCCUUGUCACUCUGCUUUCUAUGCUUCUUCCAGGCUAGAGAGGCAGCCCCUAGGGAGUUGCCUGUGGCUUAUGAGCCUCCUGCUCUCUCUGCAAACAGGCUGUUUUGCUUGGGCCCAUGGAAGGACUCACAGUGCUCUGCCACACUACACUUCAGUCAUACAGUCCAGCAUCCACCUGUGUUUCUGACAGUAAUUUCUUAUUUGCAUAAAUGUGAGUGGCAUUGCAAAGCUAACACUCACUGUGAUUUUAGCUGGCUGGAGAAGCCCAGCUUGAGCUUUUUACUGCACCCCACAAACCCCACCACAUUUUGUGCUAUCAUUAUUAGUCUGAAAGUUUUUCUCAUAGCCUGUUUUCAUCUGCAAUAAACAUCUUGCUUUCCUACA